This is a long non-coding RNA of Esox lucius (northern pike), 322 nucleotides long. RefSeq lists it as uncharacterized. Lineage: Eukaryota; Metazoa; Chordata; Actinopteri; Esociformes; Esocidae. The record is from RefSeq and is a predicted model, not a curated record. The transcript has 3 exons.
GUUUCCCUCAAGAAACUCAAGGUGGCGUAUGACAAAACGGUCAAUUCGGAUGGGGAGACUUUCAUGUUUGAAAAGACCAUGUUUUAUGUUUUUAAAUUCAGCCUCAACAUUUGCCGAGCUUGCUGUGUUGUGUACACUUUUGAAGUGUGGAACCAUCACAGCUGUCCAAAGAGAUCUGUGUGAAGUGUCUCCUCGACUCCAGUCACCUCUGUUAAAUGGUCAUCUUCAGUGACACAUGGCAAGACCCCCUCUGCAAAUCGUCUCUUCAAUUGUGCUUUGCAUGUUUCCGAGACAACAGCAUUCCCACCGGCUAAUGAGCUUG